CCACGUUUGUGUUUUGAUUUGGGUAUCCAACAGAGAAAUAUCAACACCAUUCCAAAUAAAAUCAUUACGUACCUUCUAAAUACUCCAAACAAGGACAAGUAAUAGCUCAAAGCUUUCAUGAGAUACAUUUUGCGCCAUAUACUCCAGCCAUCCUCCAAAUCCCUCCUUAAUUAACCAUAUUAAAUCAAUUAAAAUAAUAAAUUAUUGAGGGGGGUAAAAAAUAGCCCCCUUCAGUUGGAGAUGGAUUUUUUUUGUCAAAGGGCUAUGUUUUGGCCUAUGGCCAUUUGGUCCCCUCGGUUAGAGAUGGUAUAAAAUAUGUCCAGGUACUAUUCAUAAAAAAAAAAUUCUACAGGGCUAUAAGGCUAAACAUGGCCCUUUGGCCCUCUUUCGGUUGGAGAUGGCCUAAUUCACCCUCAUUCUAGCUCAUCGAUAAGAUUGAGGACGCUCCCAAGACUCUUAUAAAUAAAGGUCAUGACCCCUAGCUUAGGAUGUUCAGCAUAUUCAAUCUCAACAAUUACAAACUUCAAGUGAUUCUUCAAUCAAUCCCUCAACUACUUUUGAGCAGAACUCAAAGCUCCUCAGCUCAACCCAAAGCCUUCUUCAAAGCUUCUAUGCGUAUAACCCAUGAGCUCUAAAACAUACACAGCUAUGCUAUCUUGUAUUAUGAUUUGGUUGAUGAUCAUUCCAACCACCCCUGAUCACUUCUAUGAGGUCAUGUACCUUCUUUGUAAAGUUUGAUACCAUCGUUAUCGAUGGACUUUUCUUGCACUAUUCUUACUAGUUUUAUUACUUCCUUACAUUUUGAAGUGUAUUUACUUUCCAGUAUUUUGAGUUAUGUAAAGUGUCUCAUCAUUCCACGAGUUUCCAUUAAACGUUAGUAGUCUUUCUUCAACAAUGAAAUGAUUACCUCCAGUUUUUCCUUUCCAUUUUCUCUUCUAUUUACUUUUCAGGCAAACAUACCACACUAGAUUUCAAGCUUAAAUCUCCAAAAUAUAUAAUCAUUGCAUGUGGGCAGCCUCCAAUAGUGGCAUGCUUAUUUUGUUACUUUCUCUCAAGCCAUCUCUUGCCACUAAGAAUGAAAGCACACUCAAGACAAAUCAUGUGGUGACCUAAGUCGGGCUCUAUUUGAUCUUUAACACCAAUAGAUGGGGAAAGGUGGGGUUGCACUUGCAGAUUGUAUUUGCCUAUGUGAUGUUCUCCUAAUUUUAUUUUGUGCCACCAUUAUAUCACAUUUUUGUAGUAGGGAGUAGAACAUUUAUAACCUAGUUAAUUUUAUUUAUUUUUUCUUUUUUGUUGAGAAUGGGUCCUGCAUUGUGGGGAAAGGGCUAUAUGCUUAUGAGUCGUUCGGCUAUUCUCCAGUUAAUUUUACAGUGGAAGCUCAAGUUUUUUCACUUUUCUUCUAAGCAAAUAAUUUUACGCAAGUGAUCAUUUUUCACAGUGGUGGAAAGGAGUUGAACCCUUGCAUGACAGCAUGGGUUCAAACCUUAUCGGUAGCUAAUCUAACAUCUAAUCUAACAAAAUUUAUUGUUUGACAAAAAAAGUAUUUACAAAAAAAAAAAAAUUGUUGUAAACAUUCCUAGAAUAAGUAUGAUUGUGUAAAUCCUAGAUUAGAUUUGAUUCUAGUUAUCAUUUCCUAUUACAACUUGUAUUACUUGGAGGAGAAGGAAUAUUUUAUCUUCCUUUACUACUAUAAAUAAAGGCACAAUGUAGG
RNAcentral lists this long non-coding RNA (1711 nucleotides) under Malus domestica (apple). Its description in RNAcentral is "long non-coding RNA (MDOM_LNC012516)". Lineage: Eukaryota; Viridiplantae; Streptophyta; Magnoliopsida; Rosales; Rosaceae. The record is from RNAcentral.